Molecule: ribosomal RNA, 946 nt
Filed under: bacterium NTN14
Lineage: Bacteria
Description: bacterial SSU rRNA
Rfam family: Bacterial small subunit ribosomal RNA
Source: RNAcentral
UNGGGACUUCGUCCCCGNGUUNGUNAUAGGCGGCAGGGUGAGUAACACGUGGGUAACCUGCCUGUAAGACUGGGAUAACUCCGGGGAAACCGGGGCUAAUACCGGAUGCUUGUUUGAACCGCAUGGUUCAAACAUAAAAGGUGGCUUCGGCUACCACUUACAGAUGGACCCGCGGCGCAUUAGCUAGUUGGUGAGGUAAUGGCUCACCAAGGCGACGAUGCGUAGCCGACCUGAGAGGGUGAUCGGCCACACUGGGACUAGAGACACGGCCCAGACUCCUACGGGAGGCAGCAGUAGGGAAUCUUCCGCAAUGGACGAAAGUCUGACGGAGCAACGCCGCGUGAGUGAUGAAGGUUUUCGGAUCGUAAAGCUCUGUUGUUAGGGAAGAACAAGUACCGUUCGAAUAGGGCGGUACCUUGACGGUACCUAACCAGAAAGCCACGGCUAACUACGUGCCACGCACGCCGCGGUAAUACGUAGGUGGCAAGCGUUGUCCGGAAUUAAUUGGGCGUAAAGGGCUCGCAGGCGGUUUCUUUAAGUCUGAUGUGAAAGCCCCGGCCUCAACCGGGGAGGGUCAUUGGAAACUGGGGAACUUGAGUGCAAAAGAGGAAAGUGCCAAUCAACUGUACGGUAAUGUUAAGAUGUGCAGAACACAUCUGNCACGGCCACUUCUUCUGGUUCUUGAAAUCUGACACUCUAAGAAACCGAAAGCGUGGGGAANCAAAAGAUAUAACUCCCUUGGUAUCCCACNCCAAUACAAUAAUUUAGUUGAUAUGGGGGUUCCCCCCCUUUUGUCACAACAUAACCCCCCCCAUGGAGACAGGCCCAAAUAAAACAAGAAAUAGGGGCCCCCACGGGCUUUAUUAAAAACAAAAAAAUACGCCNAUACGCCAACUAUANUUAUCUUUGGGAAAAGUANUUCAUUUUUUUAUAUUUCANACACNAU